Long non-coding RNA from Oncorhynchus tshawytscha (Chinook salmon), 455 nucleotides. Lineage: Eukaryota; Metazoa; Chordata; Actinopteri; Salmoniformes; Salmonidae. The record is from Ensembl.
CGGGUGAUAGGGAUAGGAGACGGGCGAUAGGAGACAGGUGAUAGGGAUAGGAGACAGGUGAUAGGGAUAGGAGACAGGCGAUAGGGAUAGGAGACGGGUGAUAGGGAUAGGAGACGGGCGAUAGGGAUAGGAGACAGGUGAUAGGGAUAGGAGACAGGCGAUAGGGAUAGGAGACGGGUGAUAGGGAUAGGAGACGGGUGAUAGGGGUGGAAGAGGGGUGAGAGAGGGGAGAUAGGGGGAUAGAGGUGGGAGAGGGGUGAUAGGGAUAGGAGACAGGUGAUAGGGAUAGGAGACAGGUGAUAGGGCUGGGAGAGGGGUGAUGAGGAGGGGGGAUAGGGUGAUAGGGAUAGGAGACAGGUGAUAGGGAUAGGAGACAGGUGAUAGGGAUAGGAGACAGGUGAUAGGGAUAGGAGACGGGCGAUAGGGAUAGGAGACGGGUGAUAGGGAUAGGAGAC